RNAcentral lists this long non-coding RNA (549 nucleotides) under Fukomys damarensis (Damara mole-rat). RNAcentral's name for it is "lncRNA (ENSFDAG00000028218.1)". The record is from RNAcentral. Lineage: Eukaryota; Metazoa; Chordata; Mammalia; Rodentia; Bathyergidae.
AAUUGAUUUUACUCUCUAGUACUGGAUUCUAAAUAGGUUUACUCUCUCAACCCAUCAACGCUCUGAGAAAAAUAUAUGAAAGUUUCUUACAACAGAGGACAUAACAGUGAAUACUAUGGCUCAGAAUGGCAACUGAGGCAGAGUUCAACUACUUAAAUUGAGGACACAGCUGAGAGUCAAGGGAAAUCAAGAACAGAGUUCCCAACAGAGGCAGAACGCCAGGCAGUUCACUAUGGGUAUAUGUGGGAGAAGUUCAAGCCUGCCUGGGCCAGGUGUGCCACACUCCUGUCUUCUAAGCAAACUUGAAGACCUCUCUGAGGCUUAGCUAACUCGCCUAAGUGCGUAGAGGCUGGGUCUAACAGGCUAUACCUCUGCCCCUAGUCUGUGACUCCUUCACCUUGCCCAAGAAAAAUCACCCCCCCCAUAUGUCUAGCCAAUAAAAUAUCACCCAAUGUUCUCCACUACUGCAUAAUGUAUAAGAAAGUGCCGUGUAAUUAAAUACUCCUCCCAUGCUCCUCCUCCAAGGUUGUCCACAUGUAAGCUAUAUAA